ACGGGAGGCAGCAGUGAGGAAUUUUCCGCAAUGAGCGAAAGCUUGACGGAGCAAUACCGCGUGGAGGACGAAGGCUCAUGGGUCGUAAACUCCUUUUCUUAGGGAAGAAUUUUGACGGUACCUAAGGAAUAAGCAUCGGCUAAUUCCGUGCCAGCAGCCGCGGUAAGACGGGAGAUGCAAGCGUUAUUCGGAUUUAUUGGGCGUAAAGGGUCUGUAGGUUGUUGGUUAAGUCUAUGGUCAAAUUCCGAAGCUCAACUUCGGGCCGGCACUAGAAACUAAUCAACUUGAGUACGUCAGAGGCAGGGGGAAUUCCCAGUGUAGCGGUGAAAUGCGUAGAUAUUGGGAGGAACAUCAAUGGCGAAGGCACCCUGCUAGGCCGAUACUGACACUGAAAGACGAAAGCUAGGGGAGCAAAUGGGAUUAGAUACCCCAGUAGUCCUAGCUGUAAACGAUGGGGACUAAACUUUGGUUUUAAAAAUCAGAGUUAAAGCUAACGCGUUAAGUCCCCCGCCUGGGGAGUACGCCCGCAAGAGUGAAACUCAAAGGAAUUGACGGAGGU
This 559-nucleotide ribosomal RNA is filed under the name uncultured bacterium. RNAcentral describes it as "bacterial SSU rRNA". It matches the Rfam family "Bacterial small subunit ribosomal RNA", at positions 341 to 920 of the family's 1533-position model. The record is from RNAcentral.